RNAcentral lists this long non-coding RNA (2141 nucleotides) under Salvia miltiorrhiza (redroot sage). Its description in RNAcentral is "long non-coding RNA (SMIL_LNC008120)". The record is from RNAcentral. Lineage: Eukaryota; Viridiplantae; Streptophyta; Magnoliopsida; Lamiales; Lamiaceae.
AGCAUAAGCCUAAAACCAUAAUCAACUAAAAUAUGCAACUGCAUCAAGAAAAAUAAUUUUGGUAUAAAUAGUUCACUAUGCAAAACUAAAAGCAUUUUAUUGAUUAUGCUCCUCAAUUUCAGCAAUUUUGAUUCCACAUUUGAAAAAGAAAAGUAAAGUGGUUCUCCUUUCAGCAUCUUUUUGCCACCGGCACUGCGUCGUUUGUUUUCCCUAUUAUAUAACCUCGAUUCAGAAAAUAACAGCUUGGUCAUCCCAAAUGCUCAAGAGAUUAAUCUAUCCACAGAUAAUAUAUUGUUUCUUUGUAAACCUGAGAUUGAACAAGAGUAGUACUCAUAUGAGACAACAAACUACUCCAUGUUAUUCAAUUCAAGAGGCAAAUUUGAUGAAAAUUGUGCAAUUAAUUAAAAUUUAAGCAACCGCAAAGUCCAAUGGGUUAGUUGCGCCUAAAUACACAAACUUUCAACCAAUUCUAGUUUUGCACAUAAACUAAAAAAUCUGCCUCCAAACACAUGAACUUUCAAUUGUUCUGAUUUUUCACACGAUUAUCAACUGCACCCAAAUUAAUGUUGAGGUGGAUGCCUUAAAUGCCUACAUGGUUUAAACAAUUGAUGUGCUAGACGAGGUACUUGGAUUUCUACGCUACUUCAGCUUGUCACGGUGAUAUUAAUUUGUCACUUUAACUAGCCACGAACGCUGAAAAUUGAUAGCCGUGUGAAAAAUCGGAACAAUUAAAAGUUCGUGUAUUUGGAGGCGGAAUAUUUAGUUCAUGUGGAAAACCAGAAAUCACUAAAAGUACAUGUAUAUAGGCACAAUUACCCCAAGUCCAAUAAAGUAGGACAUGAAAGUUAACUUAUCCUUCUUUCUUUGUGAACUCCAUUAGGCAUCACAUCUUAAGUGCAUUCAAAUAUGUUCACCACUCACAUACCACCUCCCUACAAAAAUAGAGAAACUCAAGGAAAAGAUCAAGAUCAUACCCUAUCACAGUAGAUAUGAUUCAACUACAGUUCGGCCAAACUUUUCCUGCACAUCUUUGGGAGUUUCAAUCUGCGAGCAAAAGAAAGAGGAAUAGAAAAGGAUAAACAAUGGUGAAAUAUAAUAUCCAUGUAGAUAAUGUAUAUAAUAUAAUUCCUCCCAUUUACCGCAUUUAAUGCUUUGAAGAGAGCCUUCACAGUGUUGUGGGGAUUCCUUGAACCAACAACCUACAAGAGUAUUUCCAUCAGGACAAAGUUGGAAACGAAAGAACAUAUUUCUCGAGCCAGCUAAGUUAAGAAUCAACUCCACAGUUUUGCCUGCCUUCAUCCCUGAUUGUGUGGGAGCUGGCCAAAGAUACACCUACAAGCACUUAAAAUUUUCAAGCCAAAAUCCCUAAAGAAGAAAAACAGCUUUCUAUCAAUUUCAACCAUCAACAAAGAUAUACAACUAGAAAUUUGACGAUACCUUAGUGUUUUUAUACGAUGUCUGAAUUGCAUGUGCAAUUGUAUGAUCCUCAACAUAGUGCAGAUUCUGUGGCAAUAGGCCAUUAACAUAUUAAACUAUAAAUAACAGAUGCCGCGAUGAGUUUCUAUAAAUAUUGAAACGUUUUCUUAUUUGAACAGACAAUCCAGUGGNAGAAAUGUCUAUAUAUCAUUCAUACUCCACUUUGAUUUAUUUUCUGCACGCAAUGAAUGGAUAAGAAGACUCUAAAAGUUUAUAAUUUGAAGGAAAAAUACAUAAUUAAAAGAGCUGGUACAAAACUACACCAAGUGAAGCUGUGGAAUGGAAUCUAAAUCUUACAAAUUAAGUGCCCAUACCAACGUUAUUUCCUAUCCUCAACACAAUUCAUGAGAGAGAAAAUGAGCAUAAGCCUAAAACCAUAAUCAACUAAAAUAUGCAACUGCAUCAAGAAAAAUGAUUUUGGUAUGAAUAGUUCACUAUACAAACUAAAAGCAUUUUAUUGAUUAUGCUCCUCAAUUUCAGAAAUUUUGAUUCCACAUUUCAAAAAGAAAAGCAAAGUGGUUCUCUUUUCAGCAUCUGUUUGCCACCGGCACUACGUCGUUUGUUUUCCCUAUUAUAUAACCUCGAUUCAGAAAAUAACAGCUUGGUCAUCCCAAAUGCUCAAGAGAUUAAUCUAUCCACGGAUAAUAUUGUUUCUUUGUAAACCU